RNAcentral lists this ribosomal RNA (253 nucleotides) under uncultured bacterium. RNAcentral describes it as "partial 16S ribosomal RNA". It matches the Rfam family "Bacterial small subunit ribosomal RNA", at positions 524 to 776 of the family's 1533-position model. The record is from RNAcentral.
UACGUAGGGUGCAAGCGUUAAUCGGAAUUACUGGGCGUAAAGCGUGCGCAGGCGGUUGUGUAAGACCGAUGUGAAAUCCCCGGGCUUAACCUGGGAACUGCAUUUGUGACUGCCUGGCUGGAGUGCGGCAGAGGGGGAUGGAAUUCCGCGUGUAGCAGUGAAAUGCGUAGAUAUGCGGAGGAACACCGAUGGCGAAGGCAAUCCCCUGGGCCUGCACUGACGCUCAUGCACGAAAGCGUGGGGAGCAAACAGG